UGGUCCUGACCUGACCUGUAUGUACCUGGUCCUGACCUGUAUGUACCUGGUCCUGACCUGUACGUACCUGGUCCUGACCUGUUUGUACCUGGUCCUGACCUGUAUGUACCUGGUCCUAACCUGACCUGUAUGUACCUGGUCCUAACCUGUAUGUACCUGGUCCUGACCUGUAUGUACCUGGUCCUGACCUGUAUGUACCUGGUCCUGACCUGUUUGUACCUGGUCCUGACCUGUAUGUACCUGGUCCUGACCUGUUUGUACCUGGUCCUGACCUGUUUGUACCUGGUCCUGACCUGUAUGUACCUGGUCCUGACCUGUAUGUACCUGGUCCUAACCUGACCUGUAUGUACCUGGUACUGACCUGUAUGUACCUGGUCCUGACCUGUAUGUACCUGGUCCUGACCUGUUUGUACCUGGUCCUGACCUGUAUGUACCUGGUCCUGACCUGUAUGUACCUGGUCCUGACCUGACCUGUAUGUACCUGGUCCUGACCUGUUUGUACCUGGUCCUGACCUGACCUGUUUGUACCUGGUCCUGACCUGUUUGUACCUGGUCCUGACCUGUAUGUACCUGGUCCUCACCUGUUUGUACCUGGUCCUGACCUGACCUGUAUGUACCUGGUCCUGACCUGUAUGUACCUGGUCCUGACCUGUAUGUACCUGGUCCUGACCUGUAUGUACCUGGUCCUAACCUGACCUGUAUGUACCUGGUCCUGACCUGUAUGUACCUGGUCCUGAUCUGUAUGUACCUGGUCCUGACCUGUAUGUACCUGGUCCUGACCUGUAUGUACCUGGUCCUAACCUGACCUGUAUGUACCUGGUCCUGACCUGUAUGUACCUGGUCCUAACCUGUUUGUACCUGGUCCUGACCUGUAUGUACCUGGUCCUAACCUGACCUGUAUGUACCUGGUCCUGACCUGUUUGUACCUGGUCCUGACCUGUAUGUACCUGGUCCUGACCUGUAUGUACCUGGUCCUGACCUGUAUGUACCUGGUCCUGACCUGACCUGUAUGUACCUGGUUCUGACCUGUACGUACCUGGUCCUGACCUGACCUGUAUGUACCUGGUCCUGACCUGUAUGUACCUGGUCCUAACCUGGCCUGUAUGUACCUGGUCCCGACCAGGUGGUUUAGUUUAAUGACCAGGUGGUUUAGUUUAAUGACCAGGUGGUGGCUAGUUUAAUGACCAGGUGGUUUAGUUUAAUGACCAGGUGGUUUAGUUUAAUGACCAGGUGGUGGCUAGUUUAAUGACCAGGUGGUGGCUAGUUUAAUGACCAGGUGGUUUAGUUUAAUGACCAGGUGGUGGCUAGUUUAACGACCAGGUGGUGGCUAGUUUAAUGACCAGGUGGUGGCUAGUUUAAUGACCAGGGGGUUUAGUUUAAUGACCAGGUGGUGGCUAGUUUAUUGACCAGGUAGUGGCUAGUUUAAUGACCAGGUGGUUUAGUUUAAUGACCAGGUGGUGGCUAGUUUAACGACCAGGUGGUGGCUAGUUUAAUGACCAGGUGGUGGCUAGUUUAAUGACCAGGUGGUUUAGUUUAAUGACCAGGUGGUGGCUAGUUUAACAACCAGGUGGUGGCUAGUUUAAUGACCAGGUGGUGGCUAGUUUAACGACCAGGUGGUGGCUAGUUUAAUGACCAGGUGGUUUAGUUUAAUGACCAGGUGGUGGCUAGUUUAACGACCAGGUGGUGGCUAGUUUAAUGACCAGGUGGUGGCUAGUUUAAUGACCAGGUGGUUUAGUUUAAUGACCAGGUGGUGGCUAGUUUAAUGACCAGGUGGUGGCUAGUUUAAUGACCAGGUGGUGGCUAGUUUAAUGACCAGGUAGUGGCUAGUAUAACAACAGGUGAGUUACCCUUAUGACCCUCUACGAUAGACAUUCAGUUGUUCAGCUAGGGAGGAAUGCGUCACAAAUGGUACCCUAUAUAGUGCAGUACUUUUGACAAGGGCCCAUAGGUAGUGCACUAUGUAGGGAAUAGGGUGCCAUUUGGGAAUCCCUCAAGAGAUGUCCACAGGACACAGUGGAGUCAGUGCAGAACCAGUUCCUGAUUAUCGUGUGUAUAAUGUGUGUAUAAACAUGUAUAAACUGCUUAAUAAACAUGUAUAAACUGCUUAAUAAACAUGUAUAAACUGCUUAAUAAACAUGUAUAAACUGCUUACUAAACAUGUGUAAACUGCUUAAUAAACAUGUAUAAACUGCUUAAUAAACAUGUAUAAACUGCUUAAUAAACAUGUGUAAACAGCUUACUAAACAUGUAUAAACUGCUUAAUAAACAUGUAUAAACUGCUUAAUAAACAUGUAUAAACAGCUUACUAAACAUGUAUAAACUGCUUACUAAACAUGUAUAAACUGCUUACUAAACAUGUAUAAACUGCUUAAUAAACAUGUGUAAACUGCUUAAUAAACAUGUAUAAACUUAUAAUAACAGUCAUGGUUGAGUAGUUGACUUUAAAGGACCCAGAGAGUUACAUAGACAGAGGACCUUCAGUAUGCUGGACAACACUGGAAACAUGUUGGGCUCAAUAUACAUCAUCAUGGUAUAUUAUCUUAUAUAGUAAGUUAUCUUAUGUUAUACGCUUUGUAACAGAGCACCAUUACGUUUUAGUACUUUUUUCAAAGCUGGCUGGUUUGUUUACAAGUUCAUAUCAAGAGUGCUGGAGAUUCAGCCCGACUUUAAAAUAACACAGAAUCUAAGUGCUACAUUUCCUGAAAGCCCCGUAAAUGUAAACAUGUAUACAGAUGAACAUAAUAAACUGUCCAUAGCUGGUAAUAUUACAAGAGGCAAUAGUAUCAAAACAUUCCACCAAAAAGACUUGAAAGAGUAUUAAACAGUUUUAAAUAAUUCAUAUUAAAUAGUUAUCCUUCAGCAUCUUUUAGUGAUGUCGUUUUUUUUUUGAUCAAUUUAUAAUUCCUUGAAAGAAUCCUAGAUAUUUUUUUUUUAGAUCCGACAAAAUAUUUAAUUCAUGGUUUCCUCUAUUACAGUGGUCGCCAACCUUUUUUCAGAGUCAAAAUGCAAGCUGAGAUCAACCGUAAGCCUAUGCAACAUUAACCAAUUUAAAAACAGUUCUGGAUCAAUGAACCUCAUUCAUGAACCUCAUUGAUCCAGAACUGUUUUUUAAUUGGUUAAUGUACAGUAGUAAGCUAUAGGCUCAAUACAUUAUCACUGUAUACUGGCUAUGCUUGACUUGCCCUGCCAAUGUUAUUCUUCUGGGACCAUUUUGACAUUUUAUAUAUAAAAUGUUGGUAUAUGAUCAAACUGGUAAUAGAUCAUUUGUUGUAUCACUUGUGAGGUUACAGCUGACUGAGCAUAAUCAUAUAAUUUUUUUUUUUUAUUGGACUGAUGACCUGCAUCUGAUGGUUAGUCUGAGAGGAGGGAGGGAGAGAGGA
RNAcentral lists this long non-coding RNA (3380 nucleotides) under Salmo salar (Atlantic salmon). RNAcentral's name for it is "lncRNA (ENSSSAG00000088269.1)". The record is from RNAcentral. Lineage: Eukaryota; Metazoa; Chordata; Actinopteri; Salmoniformes; Salmonidae.